UUUCCGUAGGUGAACCUGCGGAAGGAUCAUUAAUGAGUUGUCAUGGGGUUCGAUCCUGGCAGCCAGUUUUUGGAUGCAUGUGCUUGCCCUAACAAUCAUCUUCUUCCAAACACCUGUGCACAUUUUUGAGGGAGUCUUGAGUUGGUUGCCGCUCUUGGGUGAUUUUCUCACAUUCCCUUAAAUCAUUAUACGCUAUUAACAAUGUUGAACGUGCUCUGUGCCGCAAGGCCAUUAAUAUAAUACAACUUUUAACAACGGAUCUCUUGGCUCUC
Molecule: unclassified non-coding RNA, 272 nt
Filed under: plant metagenome
Description: partial contains small subunit ribosomal RNA, internal transcribed spacer 1, and 5.8S ribosomal RNA
Source: RNAcentral